ACAACACGUGCGCUGGAAAAUGGUGGCCAUCUUGUCUCCUGAAAGCAGGCAGUAGAACCAGGUUGUUGAGUGUCUGGAACUCUAAGUCAGACACUCAACCCUGCAAACAACAAUAAUUUUUGUAUGAACGCCUCCUUCAUUUGGAGACAAGCCAGGAAAACGCUGUUCGGUAGGAUUGUUCGCACGAACCAGGUGAACGAUCGUUACCUAUGAGCC
Molecule: non-coding RNA, 216 nt
Organism: Pelobates cultripes (western spadefoot toad)
Lineage: Eukaryota; Metazoa; Chordata; Amphibia; Anura; Pelobatidae
Source: the annotation of a GenBank genome assembly